This is a non-coding RNA of Myotis brandtii (Brandt's bat), 74 nucleotides long. The record is from Rfam. Lineage: Eukaryota; Metazoa; Chordata; Mammalia; Chiroptera; Vespertilionidae.
GCCAGUGUUGGUAAGUGGUUAGAGCGUUGGCCUGGAAACCUAAGGGUCGUGGGUUCAAUUCCCAGUCAAGGGCA